Brienomyrus brachyistius is the source of this 1488-nucleotide long non-coding RNA. RefSeq lists it as uncharacterized. The record is from RefSeq and is a predicted model, not a curated record. NCBI's taxonomy places the organism in Eukaryota, Metazoa, Chordata, Actinopteri, Osteoglossiformes, Mormyridae. The transcript has 3 exons.
ACGCUGUAGCUGAUGUUCUGAGAUCUUCAUCCAUGCUCCCCUCUUUAAAUCUGAGCACCUGCCCCACUAAAGGUCUCUGCACGGCCCUGGAGCUGUGACCGAAGUAUUUGGGGGCAGGAGAUGGAUAAUGGAUAAUGUACCCAAAUAUCCCACACCGGGCCACAGACCGCUUCCGCAUUUGGGAGGAAGCUGAUCAUUUCCUGUCUGUAACUGAAAGUGAAAUAUACUUGAAGCCAGAAUCGCCAUUUCAGCAAGAAACACGAAUAAGAUUCCGGAGGAUAUAAAGAUAUUUGUUUUGCAAGUUUAGGUGAAACUGAAACUACAGCAAAACCUUGAGUCACUGGUCUGAAGUGAUUUUACUCUGAAGUGGAUUUUCAGUACAAGAGAAAACAUCUGUUUAUUAAAGCAAGUUUACUGGUUUGCAGAGAAAAGUAUGGCAAGCUUGGCCGAUUUUUUAGAAUUUGUAGACGACUUCUGCACGUCUUUUGAAUGCUAUCUGGAGCAUGACGACACACGGAGAGGUAGUAGGACAUACAUCAUGUACCAUGGUACUACAUUAAGAGCUGCAUUAGAUAUUGAACAGAAUGGAUUUCAGCAGUCCAGCGAUGGCAUGCUUGGACCUGGAGUCUAUGUCAGUCGGAGCUUUGAGAAGGCCAAAGCUUACCCAAGAAAUCUACCCUUCUAUGAGCGGAAAGCUGUACUCAAGCUGAGGGUUCGAGUAGGAAAAGUAAAGAAGAUCGACCGGCAGGGACACCCCCUCCAAAAAACAUGGCAUGAUCAUGGAUAUGACACAGCCUGGGUGCCCCCCAACUGCGGAAUGGUUCCUAGCGGCUUGGAGGAAGAUUGUGUUUGGGAUCCCAGCAGGAUCGAAGUUUUAGGUAUAAUCCUGGGUGCAGAGCCUGUCCCAGCCAUUAUGGGUACCAAGGGAAAAACCACUCAGGAUGGGGCACCAAUCCACUGCAGGGAGCAGUCACACACCAGUCACUCACACUCCAUUCACUCACACACCAUACACUCACACACCAGUCACUCACACACCAUUCACUCACACACUAUUCACUCACACAUGCACAUCUAUGGGCAAUUUGGUAACUUCAAUAAAUCUCGGCAUGUUUUUGGUCUGUGGGAGGAAACGAGAGUAUCCAGAGGAAACCCCCACCUCAACCAAGAGGGAACAUGCAAACUUCACAUACUUGGAACACAGGCAGAGACCCAGGCAGAGACCCAGGCCCCAGAGGUGUGAGGUGACAGUGCUACCCACUGCACCACUGUGUGAAAUAUGCUACAUAACUUCAUAAUGGAAUGUUAUAUAACCAUCAAAUUUUAUGUUUAUGUCCUAUUAUAGAAGAUAAGAUUGUAAAAUCGUUUGUCAGCAGUGAAAUCUAACACUCUCAACCAAAAAGCCUAAGAGUGGCUGCUCUGUCCUGAAAUCGUACAGCUGUAGUGUUCAAGCGCAUUAUGUAUUUAAUAAAACAUUAAAUGAGUAAA